Long non-coding RNA from Nicotiana attenuata, 650 nucleotides. RefSeq lists it as uncharacterized. The record is from RefSeq and is a predicted model, not a curated record. The transcript has 2 exons. Lineage: Eukaryota; Viridiplantae; Streptophyta; Magnoliopsida; Solanales; Solanaceae.
CAUAUUUUUCUAACUUUGUAUCUAAUGUUCUCUUAUUCUAUAAGAGAGGUCUCCGUCAACAUGGCUGCUUGUGCUAAGUGGAUAUCUUGGUCAUUUUACAUUACAUUCUCUUAAUCUAUAACAGAGAGUUAUCUCUAAGUGGAUUUCAAAUCACGAAAAAAUUUAGAAAUAUUCACCUCCCAAGUAAGCAGCCUUUUGGAAUUCCGUUUCAUUCCUAAAGAUCAGGUUUCCCAAAUUGCUUCUACUCGGUCUGCUGACUCAUACUCCUGAGAGAACGCCAUCUGCUGUUUUUGCUUUUGGGUAAACGGUGGGCAAUAUCAGAUAUUACUUUUCUUCCCCUACAAUUUUCAAUCAGUUUACACUCUGUUUGUUGUUUAGUUUCGCUCUGUUCUUAGGAUUUGUUUUCGCUACUCUUUUGAUCACUUCCAGAUUAGCUUGUUGUCUCGGCCAUGAGGCAAAAACAUUCUACUUCGUAAUAACACAAGUAUUAGGGAACUGGUAGAAUUGUAGCAUUUUGUACUCUUCGUUUUGAAACAUUUUGAAUCAAAUUGUAUAGAUUUCUUCCAGCUUUGUCUCAUGACUUGUAAACAAAAGUUUUUUUUUUAUGUUAAAUAAAACUUGGGCCCCGGCACAGCCCGGACUACAUCCAA